GCGCGGGUCCUGCGCAGCGGGACACCACGAACCGGGUCAGGUCCGGAAGGAAGCAGCCCUAAGUGGCUUGUUCCGGGUGCCGCAGGGGUGCCUGGCUCAU
RNAcentral lists this signal recognition particle RNA (100 nucleotides) under Acidimicrobiia bacterium. Its description in RNAcentral is "signal recognition particle sRNA small type". It matches the Rfam family "Bacterial small signal recognition particle RNA". From Rfam's summary of the family: The signal recognition particle (SRP) is a universally conserved ribonucleoprotein involved in the co-translational targeting of proteins to membranes. Archaeal SRP consists of a 7S RNA and homologues of the eukaryotic SRP19 and SRP54 proteins. In most bacteria, the SRP consists of a 4.5S RNA and the Ffh protein (a homologue of the eukaryotic SRP54 protein). The record is from RNAcentral. Lineage: Bacteria; Bacillati; Actinomycetota; Acidimicrobiia.